AUUUUGGACAAUGGGCGCAAGCCUGAUCCAGCCCUGCCGCGUGAGUGAAGAAGGCCUUCGGGGGGUAAAGCUCUUUCGUACUGAAAGAAAUCGCGCUGGCUAAUACCCUGCGCUGAUGACGGUAUCUGCAUAAGAAGCACCGGCUAACUACGUGCCAGCAGCCGCGGUAAUACGUAGGGUGCGCGCGUCAAUCGGAAUUACUGUGAGUAAAGCGUGCGCAGGCGGUUGAUUAAGACUGGCGUGAAAACCCCGGGGUUAACAUGGGAACUGCGCUUGUGACUGGUCAGCUAGAGUACGGCAGAGGGGGGUGGAAUUCCACGUGUAGCAGUGAAAUGCGUAGAGAUGUGGAGGAACACCGAUGGCGAAGGCAGCCCCCUGGGCCGAUACUGACGCUCAUGCACGAAAGCGUGGGUAGCAAACAGG
RNAcentral lists this ribosomal RNA (423 nucleotides) under uncultured bacterium. RNAcentral describes it as "partial 16S ribosomal RNA". It matches the Rfam family "Bacterial small subunit ribosomal RNA", at positions 361 to 776 of the family's 1533-position model. The record is from RNAcentral.